GCAAUCUUUCGGUUACUCUACCUUUCGGUUACUAGUCCGAUGCUCUAACCAGUAGGCUACCUGCCGACCCAGGUUAGCAUUUGCGUCCCUCGCGUUUGCAACAAUGAAAAACUGUUGUUACACAUCAUCCAUGUUUUUUUGCUUAUAUUGAACUGUUUAUCAAUGAUGAAACAUAAUGCAAGUCAUUUAUAGCGCAAAAUCCAUAUUUUGUAGGCCACGGCUGCAGAUCCGAAGACCUCGGUCCCUACAGACCCCAUGUCCCUGUUCAACCUGAAGAGAGGUUCCCCCGAAGAGGAGUUCCCUACCCUAAAAUACAACUACACAUGUAUGGCGAGAAUCCUGACUCCAGAACUGUAUGCUCGCCAGUUCAACCGCGCCACCCAGAGCGGGGUCAUCUUUGAUGAUGUCAUACGUCCGGGCCUCGAGGAACCAGGGGAGCUUCAUGGACCCGUGUCUGUGGGUUGUGUAGCUGGCGACGGCCAGUCUUACAUCCUCUUCUGUGACUUCUUUGAUCGGGUCAUGGUACUGCAGCGUGGCCCUAUAAGUGUAUCUCCAUUUCACAUAAUAAAAACAACUAUUGUUAAAAAAACGUUUUAUUAUAAGGUUUCUUCAUAAUCCCAACUAUGAACUUUCAUGCUUUUAUGAAGAAGUUAACAUUUGUCACAUAUCGCUUGGACUACUCACAUGAUUUCAGUGUGCCACACUUCAUAACAGACUUCUACCAAAGAUGUGUGAUGUGACAUGUCAUACAAACUGUUGUUAGUUGUUAUGUCAAGAUCUCAGUAAUGUUUAUGAUAACUUUGUAGGGCAUUGUGGCAUAACAUUCCAAUAGUGUUACCCAGUACAUCCGUAGCAGAUUUGUAAGUUGUUCAAUGUGUUUAAAUGCAUUUAUGUCUCUCUCUCUUGUUCGCCCGCUCUCUCUCUGUGUGUGUCAAAUACGUACUGUGUGUGUAUGUUUGGCUGAUUAAUGUAAUGUGUGUGUGUGUGUUGACUUUGACCGUGAUUACGACUUGAGCUGCGAGGUGAGUUUGGUGCGCGAUGUGGAUAACUUCGGCUUCCCUACACACUGCAGCCGGGGAGAACGUAGAUAGCUCCUUAUGCUGGCCAAGAAAGGUACUGCAUGCUCUGAUCUACAGUAACAAUAUUGCACAAAUAGUACAUACAGUUCAGGUUUGGUGUCAAUUCCAAUUUGAUUUCAAAUUCCAAUUAAAUUAUUGAAU
Salvelinus sp. IW2-2015 is the source of this 1220-nucleotide long non-coding RNA. RefSeq lists it as uncharacterized. The record is from RefSeq and is a predicted model, not a curated record. Lineage: Eukaryota; Metazoa; Chordata; Actinopteri; Salmoniformes; Salmonidae.